Molecule: ribosomal RNA, 252 nt
Filed under: uncultured bacterium
Lineage: Bacteria
Description: partial 16S ribosomal RNA
Rfam family: Bacterial small subunit ribosomal RNA
Source: RNAcentral
UACGGAGGAUGCGAGCGUUAUCCGGAUUUAUUGGGUUUAAAGGGUGCGUAGGCGGGUUAUCAAGUCAGCGGUAAAAUCGUGGAGCUCAACUCCAUCCAGCCGUUGAAACUGAUGAUCUUGAGUGGGCGAGAAGUAUGCGGAAUGCGUGGUGUAGCGGUGAAAUGCUUAGAUAUCAGGAGGAACAUCGGUGGCGUAAGCGCUUUACUGGGCCGUAAUUGACGCUGAGGAACGAAAGCCAGGGUAGCAAAUGGG